UACGAAGGGAGCUAGCGUUGUUCGGACUUACUGGGCGUAAAGGGCGCGUAGGCGGCUCAGCAAGUUGGAUGUGAACGCCCAGGGCUCAACCCUGGAAUAGCAUUCAAGACUGCUUUGCUUGAAUUCGGUAGAGGUUGGUGGAAUUCCCAGUGUAGAGGUGAAAUUCGUAGAGAUUGGGAAGAACACCCGUGGCGAAGGAGGCCAACUGGACCGACAUUGACGCUGAGGCGCGAAAGCGUGGGGAUCAAACAGG
RNAcentral lists this ribosomal RNA (253 nucleotides) under uncultured bacterium. Its description in RNAcentral is "partial 16S ribosomal RNA". It matches the Rfam family "Bacterial small subunit ribosomal RNA", at positions 524 to 776 of the family's 1533-position model. The record is from RNAcentral.